UACGUAGGGGGCAAGCGUUGUCCGGAUUUAUUGGGCGUAAAGAGCGUGUAGGCGGCCAGACAGGUCCGUUGUGAAAACUCGAGGCUCAACCUCGAGACGCCGAUGGAAACCGUCUGGCUAGAGUCCGGAAGAGGAGAGUGGAAUUCCUGGUGUAGCGGUGAAAUGCGCAGAUAUCAGGAAGAACACCCGUGGCUAAGGCGGUUCUCUAGUACGGUACUGACGCUGAGACGCGAAAGCGUGGGGAGCGAACAGG
RNAcentral lists this ribosomal RNA (253 nucleotides) under uncultured bacterium. RNAcentral describes it as "partial 16S ribosomal RNA". It matches the Rfam family "Bacterial small subunit ribosomal RNA", at positions 524 to 776 of the family's 1533-position model. The record is from RNAcentral.